AAAGUGUGCAGCUUAUGAUUCCUUUGCUGAAACUUGAAUGUACAGAUGGGGGUAUCACAACAUGCAUAUACUGAAGAUGGGAGUAUCACAACAUGCUUAUGUAGUUUCUGUAUUUUUGUUAAAGCAUAUACUCUAGGAGGAGGAGCACCAUCUCAGGUUUGUCACUUGCUCCUCCACUUCUCUUAUCUUCUUCUUCUCCAUCUCCCCAUCUAAUUCAUGCGUUUCUUUGUAGGUUGCUCCGAUCUGGUUGUGUGAAGGAACAUGCAAGGUCUGCUACUGCUGUUGUGCUCCCUUGAACGAUCUGGUGAAGGCCAAUUUGGUCCAUAGGUCCAAUUACUGUAGCCAGCUAUCACACUUGUAGAGCUUGUAAUAUGGUGAUUCCAAUUGUAUUACGUGUUAUUGGUAGAGCAAGAGCUCCAUACUGAUUCUGGCUGUUGUUAUUUGAAGUAUUACAUGUGUUUUCUGUCUGUUUGAAUUUAAAUAUUUGUUAUUUAUUCACUGGCACAUUGAAAUCUGAAGAACAUGACCUUGACAUGAGGGACCCACAAAACAGAACCUGACAUUUCGGACCCACUUACCUGAAUCUGAAAAAACAAGAAAACAAAGGCCAUGGCCCAAAAAU
RNAcentral lists this long non-coding RNA (622 nucleotides) under Triticum aestivum (bread wheat). RNAcentral describes it as "long non-coding RNA (TAES_LNC002307)". The record is from RNAcentral. Lineage: Eukaryota; Viridiplantae; Streptophyta; Magnoliopsida; Poales; Poaceae.